GGCGGCUCAGUCGGUUAAGCAUCCAACUCUGGUUUCACCUCAGGUCAUGAUUUCUGGGUCAUGAGGCAGAGCAUUGGGCUCUGUGCUCAGCAUGGAGUCUGCUUGAGAUUCUUCCCCUCUCUAUUCCCCUCUGCCUCUCCCCCCUCCCAGUGCAUGCUCUCUCAUUCUAAAAUAAAUAAAUAAAAUCUUAAAAAUAAUUUUAAAAGGGCAGCCCGGGUGACUCAGCAGUUUAGCGCCACCUUCAGCCCAGGGCGUGAUCCUGGAGUCCCGGGAUCGAGCUCUGGGUUGAAGGCAGCGCUAAACCGCUCAACCACCCGGCUGCCCCUCAUUUUCCCUUUUUAACUAAUUAAGUUGAAUGACUCCCAGAUGUACUGUGGGUUUUGCUUGUUCGCUCACUGUGGAAAACUUUGAUGACUAGGAACUUGCCUCUAAGAAUGCCUUUGACUGAACUGAAAUCCAUCCAGUUCAAUAUUCAGCCAUUUCUGGUCACCAGCACCCCUACUGGCCAACGUCCUGCCUGUCCCUCUCGUCCCAGUCAUAUUAUGACUAAGUGAGAUGAUAGGUGAAUGUAGUUGACAUGCUAUUUUCCUCUUUAACCCAACCAAUCCAGUAUAUGUAUUUCAAAACAUUUAUUUAUUGAUGCAUUGUUGAAUAAGACAGAGAAGGUGGAGAGAGGAGCCAGUGUAUAGUAUGCAAGCACGUGAAUAAAAAGAUACUUCAUCAUCAAGACAGUGUGGCAAAAGAACAGACAAACGGGCAAAGGGAACAGAGCAGGCAGCUGAGAAACAGACCCACACAAAUAUAGUCAGCUGAUCUUUGACAAAGGAACUAAGGAAAUAUGAUGGUGAACAGAUCAUCUUUUCAACAAAUGGUGCUGGAGCAACUGGACAUCCACAUGCAAAAAAAUUAAUCUAGGGGUCUCUGGCUGGCUCAGUCUGAGAGCCUGCAACACUUGGUCCCCGGGUUUGUAAAUGCGAGCCCCAUGCUGGCUGUAGAGAUUACUUAAAAAUAAAACUCUUUUGGGACACCUGGGUGGCUCAGCAGUUGGGUGUCUGUCUUUGGCUCAGGGCAUGAUCCCGGAGUGCCGGGAUCAAGUUCUGCAUCGGGCUCCUUGCAUGGAGCCUGCUUUUCCCUCUGUCUGUGUCUCUGCCGCUCUCUCUCUCUCAUGAAUAAAUAAAUAAAUUAAAAAAAAAUAAGUAGGGGAUCUCUGGGUGGCUCAGUGGUUUAGCGCCUGCCUUUGGUCCAGGGCAUGAUCUUGGGGUCCCGGGAUCGAGUCCGACAUUGGGCUCCCUGCAUGGUGCCUGCUUCUCCCUCUGCCUGUGUCUCUGCCUCUCUCUCUCUCUCUCUCUGUCUCUUAUGAAUAAAUAAAUAAAAUAUUUUUAAAAAUUAAUAAAUAAAAAUAUAAAUAAAUAAAUAAAUAAAAAUAAAAAUCUUUUAAAAUAAAUCUAGACCAUAGACCUUAUAUACCCUUUAUUUUUUAAUGUUUUUUUUUAAGAUUUUAUUUUUAAAUAAUCUCCACACCCACCAUGGGGCUCAUAUUCACAACUUUGAGAUUAAGAGUCACACAAUCUACCAAUGGAGCCAGCUGGGCACCCCAGACAUUAUACUCCUUAAAAAAUUAACUCAAGUGCAUCACAGAGAUAAAUGUAAAAUGAGGAAACCAUAGACAUCUAGAUGAUAACACAGGAGAAAAUCUAGAUGAUCUGGGGUUUGGUAAUGACAUUUUAGAUAUAAUCCAUGAAAAAAAUAACUGAUAGCCAAUAUUGCAUUAAAAUCAAAAAGGUCUGCUCUACAAAAGAUACCAUCGUGGCAAUGGGAAGAGAAAACACAGUCUAGAAGAACUAUUUGCAGGAUGGCUGGAUGGCUAGGCAUCUGCCUUUGGCUUGGGUUGUGAUCUCCAGGUUCUGGGAUUGAGCCCCACAUGAGGCUCCCAGCUCAGCGGGGAGUCUGCUUCUCCCUCUGCCUCUUUCCCACUUGUUCUUUCUCUUUCUCUCUCAAAUGAAAAAAUUAAAAAUAUUUUAAAAAUAUAUUUGCAGAAGACAGAUCUGAUGAAGGGCUGUUGUUAUCCAAAAUAUACAAAGAAGUCUUAACGUUCAACAAUAAGAAAAUAACUCAAUUUAAAAAUAGUCAAGGUAUCUGGGCAGACGCCUCACCAUAAAGGUACACUUAUGGCAAACACGUCGAUAAAGAGAAGUUCCACAUCAUAUGUUAUUAGGGAAUCACAAAUUUGAAUGAGAUACACAAAUGUUGGAAUGGUGAAAAUGCAAAAUGCUGACAACACAAAUUGCUGGUGAGGAUGUUGAAAAUCAGGAGCUCUCAUAUGCAGGUUAUGGGAACACAAAAUGAUAAGGUCACCUUGGAAGACAGUUUGGCAGUUUGUUAAAAACUAAACUUACUUUUACCAUAAGAUCCAGCAAUGGUGCUCUUUGCUAUUUACUAACCAAAGGAUGCAAAAUCUUAUAUCCACACAAAAAACCUGCGCAUGGGUGUUUAUAACAUCAUUGCCAAUAUCUGGAAGCAAGCAAGGUGUCCUUCAGUGGGCGAAUGGAUACAUAAACGGUUGUACCUCCAAAGCAGAACAUCAUUCAGUGCUAGAAAGAAAUGAGCUAUCAGGCCAUGGAAAGCCACGGAUGGAACCUGUAGUGCAUAUCACUAAGUGAAAGAAGCCAGUCUGAAAAGUCUACAUACUGCGUGAUUCCAAUUCUGACUUUCUGGAAAAGGCAAAACUACAGAGACAGUAAAAAAAUCAGUGGUUGCCAGGGAAUUGGCGGGGGGGGGGGGGGGGGGGGCGAUGAAUAAGCUGAGUACAGAGGGUUUUUAGCACAGCAAAUCUAUUCUGUACCCUGUAACAGUGAUACACGUCAUUAUACAUUUGCCCAAACCCACAGGAUGCAUAAGCCCAAGAAUGAACCCUAAUGUAAAGCAUGGACUCUGGGUGAUAAUGAUGUGUCAGUGUAGGUUUGUGGAUGUUAACAUCUUGCGUGAGAUUUGGAUAGUAGGAUAGGCUGUGCACUUAGGGGGGCAGGGGGAUGUCUGUGAUUUCUGCUCACCUUAACUGUGAACCUAAAACUGUUCUAAAUAAUAGAAUCUAUUUUUUUUUUAAGAUUUUAUUUAUUUAUUUGAGACAGAGAGACAGAGAGAAUAGGCAGAGGGACAGAGACAGAAGCAGAAGCACUCUGCUGAGCAGGGAGCCUGCUGUGGAACUUGAUCCCAAGACCGGAGCUGAAGGCAGAUGCUUAAUAGACUCAAGCCACACAGGCAUCCUGAAUCUUUUUUUAAAGAUUUUAUUUAUUUAUUCAUGAGAGACACAGAGAGAGGCAGAGACAUAGACAGAGAGAGAAGCAGGCUCUUCACGGGGAGCCCGAAGUGGGACUUGAUACCCGGACCCAGGAUCACGCCCUGAGCCAAAGGUAGACGUUCAACCACUGAGCCACCCAGGCGUCCCCAACGCUAUUUUUGUAAAAAUAUUUCAGGCAAGUGUUUUGAAGAAAAUACCUGAAGGUAAUAUGAUAGGGAGUAUGUGGAGGGGCAAAUUUUGAUGGGUUAUAGGUGUUCUCUAUAAGAGAUUUCAAACUUUUUUUUUUUUUGGUGAGGGAGGUUGUCUAAUCCUAGGGUUUCCUGCUGCUGUUGAGGUGAGAGGGUAGUGUUAUUACCAUAUUGUUAGCAAAUUGUGUGUAUGUGUAUGUGUGUGUGUUGCACUCAACAAUAUUUUCAGAUUUUUUUUAAGUUAAUAUAGUAGUCUUUAUUACCUAUCGUAUGAUCCUCUUGGUGAAUCAAUGUGCAUACCAUUUGCCAAAACAGAAAGAGCAUUUGCUGCUCCUAGGACUCACGGUUUAAUUUGCAUCUAUUAAUGAACAUUAUUGAUCAUAUUGUACACAUCUCUACAUUUUCAUUGAUUUAUUUCUUUUGACUUAUCCUGUCAAAAGACUGGAAAAGUGUGUUAAAGUUUCCCCAAACAAAAAACAAAACAAAACAAAAAAAAAAA
This 3985-nucleotide long non-coding RNA is filed under the name Canis lupus familiaris (dog). RNAcentral describes it as "lncRNA (ENSCAFG00845024418.1)". The record is from RNAcentral. Lineage: Eukaryota; Metazoa; Chordata; Mammalia; Carnivora; Canidae.